GUGGGGAAUUUUGGACAAUGGGCGCAAGCCUGAUCCAGCAAUGCCGCGUGCAGGAAGAAGGCCUUCGGGUUGUAAACUGCUUUUGUACGGAACGAAACGGUCCUGGCUAAUACCUGGGGCUAAUGACGGUACCGUAAGAAUAAGCACCGGCUAACUACGUGCCAGCAGCCGCGGUAAUACGUAGGGUGCGAGCGUUAAUCGGAAUUACUGGGCGUAAAGCGUGCGCAGGCGGUGCUGUAAGACAGGCGUGAAAUCCCCGGGCUCAACCUGGGAAUUGCGCUUGUGACUGCAGUGCUGGAGUGCGGCAGAGGGGGAUGGAAUUCCGCGUGUAGCAGUGAAAUGCGUAGAUAUGCGGAGGAACACCGAUGGCGAAGGCAAUCCCCUGGGCCUGCACUGACGCUCAUGCACGAAAGCGUGGGGAGCAAACAGGAUUAGAUACCCGUGUAGUCC
This 450-nucleotide ribosomal RNA is filed under the name uncultured bacterium. RNAcentral's name for it is "partial 16S ribosomal RNA". It matches the Rfam family "Bacterial small subunit ribosomal RNA", at positions 354 to 796 of the family's 1533-position model. The record is from RNAcentral.